This 537-nucleotide ribosomal RNA is filed under the name Macrophomina phaseolina. Its description in RNAcentral is "eukaryotic LSU rRNA". The stretch from base 178 to 332 matches the Rfam family "5.8S ribosomal RNA". Lineage: Eukaryota; Fungi; Ascomycota; Dothideomycetes; Botryosphaeriales; Botryosphaeriaceae. The record is from RNAcentral.
AGCGAGAACACAUAGGAACUCGGGCCCCUUCCCGAUCCUCCACCCUUGCCACCUCCUCCGCCGCCCCGGCGGGCCGCGGUCUUCCGCGGCCGCCCUCCGAUUUUGGGGGGUGGCUAGUGCCCGCCAAAGAAAUCAGUCACCAAUCGUUGCACGUUGCAAUCUGAUUAAAUAUACUAAAACUUUCAACAACGGACCUCUUGGCUCUGGGGCCUAUGAAAAACGCAGCGGACUGCGAUAAGUUAUGAGAAUUGUGAAAUUCAGUGAAUCAUCAAACCUUUGAACUCUCAUUGCGCCCCGUGGUCUUCCGGGGGGCCUGCAUGUAUCGAGCGUCAUUUUCAACCUUUAAGCUUUUGCUUUGGUAUUGUGCACCGUCCUUUGCGUUCGCGCCUCAGAGACCUCGGCGGUGGCGUCUUGCCUCACGCGUACUAGAAUACACGGGCGCUUCGGAGCGUAAGGCGUCGCCCGCCGGACGAACCUUCUGAGCUUUUCUCAGGGUUGACCUCGGAUCAGGUAGGGAUACCCCGCUGAACUUAAGCA